AGCGAACGCUGGCGGCAGGCCUAACACAUGCAAGUCGAACGAACCUUUCGGGGUUAGUGGCGGACGGGUGAGUAACACGUGGGAACGUGCCUUUAGGUUCGGAAUAACUCAGGGAAACUUGUGCUAAUACCGAAUGUGCCCUUCGGGGGAAAGAUUUAUCGCCUUUAGAGCGGCCCGCGUCUGAUUAGCUAGUUGGUUGAGGUAAUGGCCCACCAAGGCGACGAUCAGUAGCUGGUCUGAGAGGAUGAUCAGCCACAUUGGGACUGAGACACGGCCCAAACUCCUACGGGAGGCAGCAGUGGGGAAUCUUGCGCAAUGGGCGAAAGCCUGACGCAGCCAUGCCGCGUGAAUGAUGAAGGUCUUAGGAUUGUAAAAUUCUUUCACCGGGGACGAUAAUGACGGUACCCGGAGAAGAAGCCCCGGCUAACUUCGUG
RNAcentral lists this ribosomal RNA (434 nucleotides) under uncultured bacterium. Its description in RNAcentral is "partial 16S ribosomal RNA". It matches the Rfam family "Bacterial small subunit ribosomal RNA", at positions 29 to 507 of the family's 1533-position model. The record is from RNAcentral.